UGGGGAAUAUUGGACAAUGGGCGAAAGCCUGAUCCAGCCAUGCCGCGUGAGUGAUGAAGGCCUUCGGGUUGUAAAGCUCUUUCACCCACGACGAUGAUGACGGUAGUGGGAGAAGAAGCCCCGGCUAACUUCGUGCCAGCAGCCGCGGUAAUACGAAGGGGGCAAGCGUUGUUCGGAAUGACUGGGCGUAAAGGGCGCGUAGGCGGUGCGUUGCGUCAGAUGUGAAAUCCCCGGGCUCAACCUGGGAAUGGCAUUUGAUACGGGCGUACUGGAAUCCGUGAGAGGUUGGUGGAAUUCCCAGUGUAGAGGUGAAAUUCGUAGAUAUUGGGAAGAACACCAGUGGCGAAGGCGGCCAACUGGCACGGUAUUGACGCUGAGGCGCGAAAGCGUGGGGAGCAAACA
This 402-nucleotide ribosomal RNA is filed under the name uncultured Inquilinus sp. RNAcentral describes it as "bacterial SSU rRNA". It matches the Rfam family "Bacterial small subunit ribosomal RNA", at positions 355 to 774 of the family's 1533-position model. The record is from RNAcentral. Lineage: Bacteria; Pseudomonadati; Pseudomonadota; Alphaproteobacteria; Rhodospirillales; Rhodospirillaceae.